UACGUAGGGAGCAAGCGUUAUCCGGAUUUACUGGGUGUAAAGGGUGCGUAGGCGGCUAUGUAAGUCAGAUGUGAAAUGUAGAGGCUCAACCUCUGAACUGCAUUUGAAACUGUAUAGCUUGAGUGAAGUAGAGGCAGGCGGAAUUCCCUGUGUAGCGGUGAAAUGCGUAGAGAUAGGGAGGAACACCAGUGGCGAAGGCGGCCUGCUGGGCUUUAGUAUUAAAACUGACGCUGAGGCACGAAAGC
This 245-nucleotide ribosomal RNA is filed under the name uncultured Oscillospiraceae bacterium. RNAcentral's name for it is "partial 16S ribosomal RNA". It matches the Rfam family "Bacterial small subunit ribosomal RNA", at positions 524 to 760 of the family's 1533-position model. Lineage: Bacteria; Bacillati; Bacillota; Clostridia; Eubacteriales; Oscillospiraceae. The record is from RNAcentral.